GAUGAAGAACGUAGCGAACUGCGAUAAGUAAUGUGAAUUGCAGAAUUGAGUGAAUCAUCGAGUCUUUGAACGCACAUUGCGCCCCCUGGCAUUCCGGGGGGCAUGCCUGUCCGAGCGUCAUUGCUGCCCUUCAAGCCCGGCUUGUGUGUUGGGUCGUCGUCCCCCCCGGGGGACGGGCCCGAAAGGCAGCGGCGGCACCGCGUCCGGUCCUCGAGCGUAUGGGGCUUUGUCACCCGCUCGAUUAGGGCCGGCCGGGCGCCAGCCGGCGUCUCCAACCUUCUAUUUUACCAGGUUGACCUCGGAUCAGGUAGGGAUACCCGCUGAACUUAAGCAUAUCAUAAGCGGAGGA
This 349-nucleotide unclassified non-coding RNA is filed under the name soil metagenome. RNAcentral describes it as "partial contains 5.8S ribosomal RNA, internal transcribed spacer 2, and large subunit ribosomal RNA". The stretch from base 1 to 120 matches the Rfam family "5.8S ribosomal RNA", at positions 35 to 154 of the family's 154-position model. The record is from RNAcentral.